This 253-nucleotide ribosomal RNA is filed under the name uncultured bacterium. Its description in RNAcentral is "partial 16S ribosomal RNA". It matches the Rfam family "Bacterial small subunit ribosomal RNA", at positions 524 to 776 of the family's 1533-position model. The record is from RNAcentral.
GACGUAGGGCGCGAGCGUUGUCCGGAUUUAUUGGGCGUAAAGAGCUCGUAGGCGGCUUGUCGCGUCAACUGUGAAAACCCGUGGCUCAACCAUGUGGUCUGCAGUCGAUACGGGCAGGCUAGAAUUCGGUAGGGGAGACUGGAAUUCCUGGUGUAGCGGUGAAAUGCGCAGAUAUCAGGAGGAACACCGGUGGCGAAGGCGGGUCUCUGGGCCGAUAUUGACGCUGAGGAGCGAAAGCGUGGGAGCGAACAGG